RNAcentral lists this non-coding RNA (27 nucleotides) under Cricetulus griseus (Chinese hamster). Lineage: Eukaryota; Metazoa; Chordata; Mammalia; Rodentia; Cricetidae. The record is from RNAcentral.
AAAAAGGAAGAAUAUAUGGCAAGGUAG